RNAcentral lists this long non-coding RNA (415 nucleotides) under Homo sapiens (human). RNAcentral's name for it is "long intergenic non-protein coding RNA 1608". Lineage: Eukaryota; Metazoa; Chordata; Mammalia; Primates; Hominidae. The record is from RNAcentral.
UUCCUUACAGUCCCCUCUAAAGCAAUUAUUCUGUUCAAAAGAGGAUUUGUUUGUGAUAUUCCUUUAAGAAUCUUUAUUUAUUCCCCCAACAGUUUCUUUUUCUGCAUCCGCUGCUCUGUUAAGUGAUCACCACAUUCAUUGUUCUCGUUUCUAUUAUUUCUGAAAAAAAUCUUCAGGAUUCUGCUUGUGGGAGUGGAUGACAUUUUUACAGUGUUUACAGCUUUAUCUAUUCCAGAAUGUCAUAUAGCUGGUAUAAGAAAGAACACUAAUCAUUCCUAAGGAAGAAAAUUAACAACGCCGUGAGUUAUAAUAUCUGGCUGAAACUGAAGGAGCUCUGUGUAAUUAAAAGUCCUUUCUGCCCUGCCUGGCCAUGGUUCUGUAUGCAUUGAUGUCUUACAAACUGAAAAAAAAAAAA